This 300-nucleotide ribosomal RNA is filed under the name uncultured fungus. RNAcentral describes it as "eukaryotic LSU rRNA". The stretch from base 1 to 52 matches the Rfam family "5.8S ribosomal RNA", at positions 103 to 154 of the family's 154-position model. Lineage: Eukaryota; Fungi. The record is from RNAcentral.
AACGCACCUUGCGCUCCUUGGUAUUCCGAGGAGCAUGCCUGUUUGAGUGUCAUGGAAUUCUCAACUCAUCAGUCUUGUUAUGAGGCUUUGAUGGGCUUGGAUUUGGAGGUUUAUGCUGCAUUUGUAUUAAUGCGGCUCCUCUUGAAUGUAUUAGUAGAACCUGCCAAGCAGUUCUCAGUGUGAUAAUUAUCUACGCCGUGGACUAUUUGCCGUUUUUAGCACUGCUUAUAAUCGUCUGUUCAUUCGGACAAUAUAUGACAAUUUGACCUCAAAUCAGGUAGGACUACCCGCUGAACUUAA